RNAcentral lists this small RNA (541 nucleotides) under Pan troglodytes (chimpanzee). RNAcentral's name for it is "retained intron". The record is from RNAcentral. Lineage: Eukaryota; Metazoa; Chordata; Mammalia; Primates; Hominidae.
CCUUCCCCGCUCAGACGCGCGCAAACCCGGAAGCAGAUCGCGUGGAGUGAAGGUCCCUCAGCGGCGCGAUUGACAUCUAAAGACUCUUCGUACGUGAGGAAGAAACCCAGAAAAGGAAAGCAAAGGAGUCAGGGAUGGCUCUUCCUCAGGGUCUAUUGACAUUCAGGGAUGUGGCCAUAGAAUUCUCUCAGGAGGAGUGGAAAUGCCUGGACCCUGCUCAGAGGACUCUAUACAGGGACGUGAUGCUGGAGAAUUAUAGGAACCUGGUCUCCCUGGGUGAGGAUAACUUCCCUCCAGAAGUGGGGAUGUGUCCUUUCGUAUCUUUGUAUUUUCUCUUUUUUUAGAUAGAGUGUCUGUCUCUCUGUCCCCAAGGGUGGAGUGCAAUGGUGUGAUCAUGGCUCACUGCAAUCUUGAAUUCCUGGGCUCAAGUGAUUGAUUGUCCCACCUCAGCCUCCCCUCGUAGUGGUACAGGUGCAUGCCAUCAUGCCAGGAUACUUUUUUAGUUUCUUUUUUUAGAGACAGGUUCUUGCUGUGCGGUUGA